Molecule: ribosomal RNA, 490 nt
Filed under: uncultured bacterium
Lineage: Bacteria
Description: partial 16S ribosomal RNA
Rfam family: Bacterial small subunit ribosomal RNA
Source: RNAcentral
AUUGAACGCUGGCGGCAGGCCUAACACAUGCAAGUCGAACGGUAACAGGAAGCAGCUUGCUGCUUUGCUGACGAGUGGCGGACGGGUGAGUAAUGUCUGGGAAACUGCCUGAUGGAGGGGGAUAACUACUGGAAACGGUAGCUAAUACCGCAUAACGUCGCAAGACCAAAGAGGGGGACCUUCGGGCAUCUUGCCAUCGGAUGUGCCCAGAUGGGAUUAGCUAGUAGGUGGGGUAACGGCUCACCUAGGCGACGAUCCCUAGCUGGUCUGAGAGGAUGACCAGCCACACUGUAACGGAGACACGGUCCAGACUCCUACGGGAGGCAGCAGUGGGGAAUAUUGCACAAUGGGCGCAAGCCUGAUGCAGCCAUGCCGCGUGUAUGAAGAAGGCCUUCGGGUUGUAAAGUACUUUCAGCGGGGAGGAAGGGAGUAAAGUUAAUACCUUUGCUCAUUGACGUUACCCGCAGAAGAAGCACCGGCUAACUCCGUG